UGGGGAAUAUUGCACAAUGGGGGAAACCCUGAUGCAGCGACGCCGCGUGAGCGAAGAAGGUUUUCGAAUCGUAAAGCUCUGUCCUAUGGGAAGAUAAUGACGGUACCAUAAGAAAAAGCCCCGGCUAACUACGUGCCAGCAGCCGCGGUAAUACGUAGGGGGCUAGCGUUGUCCGGAAUCACUGGGCGCAAAGGGUUCGCAGGCGGAAAUGCAAGUCAGGUGUAAAAGGCAGUAGCUUAACUACUGUAAGCAUUUGAAACUGCAUAUCUUGAGAAGAGUAGAGGUAAGUGGAAUUUUUAGUGUAGCGGUGAAAUGCGUAGAUAUUAAAAAGAAUACCGGUGGCGAAGGCGACUUACUGGGCUCAUUCUGACGCUGAGGAACGAAAGCGUGGGUAGCAAACAGG
RNAcentral lists this ribosomal RNA (403 nucleotides) under Verrucomicrobiota bacterium. Its description in RNAcentral is "Verrucomicrobia bacterium partial 16S ribosomal RNA". It matches the Rfam family "Bacterial small subunit ribosomal RNA", at positions 355 to 776 of the family's 1533-position model. Lineage: Bacteria; Pseudomonadati; Verrucomicrobiota. The record is from RNAcentral.